This 306-nucleotide ribosomal RNA is filed under the name uncultured bacterium. Its description in RNAcentral is "bacterial SSU rRNA". It matches the Rfam family "Bacterial small subunit ribosomal RNA", at positions 1092 to 1397 of the family's 1533-position model. The record is from RNAcentral.
ACGAGCGCAACCCUUAUCUUUAGUUGUCAUCAAGUAAUGUUGGACCCUCUAGAGAGACUGCCGGUGAUAAACCGGAGGAAGGUGGGGAUGACGUCAAAUCAUCAUGCCCCUUAUGAUUUGGGCUACACACGUGCUACAAUGGUCGGUACAACAGGCAGUGAAAGGGUAACCUGGAACGAAUCCUCUAAAGCCGAUCUCAGUUCGGAUUGUGGGCUGCAACUCGCCCACAUGAAGUUGGAGUUGCUAGUAAUCGUGAAUCAGAAUGUCGCGGUGAAUGCGUUCCCGGGUCUUGCACACACCGCCCGU